ACUUUCUAUAUUCCAGCUUUCUUGCUCCCUGUUUACAGCUUCCUUCCUCACAUUAAGUCACUUCAAACCAUCUUUCUUCCUUUCAGAUUUCUUCCUCCCAAUGUCACUGCCUUUUGUUUCUUUUUAGAGGUCUCUGCAACCCUUCUCUCUUCCUUCCAACUUUCUUUUCCUCCCAUGUUUAUGGCUCUCACUUAAAAAAAUGUUACUACAUUUUCUUUCUUCCUUCGAUGACGAUUCAGACUCCCUAUUGCUGAUUGAAGACCAUAUAUUAUACAAUUAGGGUUCAAUUACUCACUCUCAAUAACAUUCGAAGAACAGAUAAGGUGUUCGAGGAAAUGCCUAAAAGCGACUUAGUGUUUCUUGCAAAUGUUUUCUUGGUCUCUCUAAUCUGUCCUCAACGGUUCUUGCUUUGUGAAUCCAUGGGUUAAUUGGAUGAGGUAUAGAGAGGGAAAUCACAGCAUUGCAAUUAGAGGUGUAGAGAGAAAUCACAGCAUUGCAGUUGGAGGUUCUUCAAAAUCUGACCUGUCUUCCAUCGUCUUCUUCAACGUUCAAUCCAUCUCCAGAAUUUGGGAUUUGCAGGUAUAGAUAUCGAUGAAAGAACUUGGAUAAUAUAUUGGAUCGUGAAAGGAGUCACUCCGUAGAUCUUGCUGGGGAUGUGGUUCAAAAUUUGAAGGACUUCUCCCGGACUAUGUACAAAAAGAAACUCAAUCUGGUCAAUGGAGUGCUUUUCACCGGUGGAUCAUCCAAGGCAGGCCUAUACUUUGAUGUUGUUGAGGGAAUUUUUAAUCAAGUYCUGAAGAAGAAUGAUGCAGGUGACCUUUUGCAGCAAGUCCUGAAGAAGAAGCUGUUUUUGGGGCUUCAGGGAGAAAGGAAGGACGUUGAGAAAGCAACAUUACCCAGUUGACUUGAUUUUUAACCUUACUCUAUCCUUUAUCCUUUCCUCCAUUGAAGAAAAGAGAAAUUGCAAGGUGAGUGAUUACUACAUUAAUGAUUUUUUUUCUGCAUAGUUACUGUUGUAUUUGGAUGCAUUUCUUUUGAUGUUUAAAGCCAUGAGAAACACAAAAAUGAAGGAGACUGGAGAGAUUGAAAGAGAUAGGGAGGAGAUCGAGAAGAAAAUGAUGAUCAUGAUCACCUUCAAGUUUCAAAGAGGCUGCAACCAUGGACAAAACAGAUCACAAUUCGAGGAGUUAUUGCAAGCAUUAUUAUAGGGAGCAUUUACGCUGUUAUAGCCAUGAAAUUGAAUCUAACAACUGGGAUGACUCCUAAUCUGAAUGUCUCAGCUGCACUUCUUGGUUUUGUGUACAUAAAAACUUCGUUCAAAGAUUCUUCAUAAAUCUAGGAUGUCCACCGUUCCCUUUACGAGGCACGAGAACACGAUGAUUCAGACAUGUUCAGUUGCUUCUUACACCAUUGCCAUCGGAGGUGCAUUUGGGUCAUACUGGUGCUGAACAAGAAGACAUAUGAGAUGGCAAGAGGUGCAAAUUCUCCAGGGACAUACAAAGAACUUCUUGUUGGUUGGAUGACGGGCUACUCUUUCUUAAGCCGUUUUGCUGGUCUUUUUGUAUUGAUUCCACUUCGAAAGGAAGCAAAUCAAGGGGUUUGCCAAGUUCUUUUCAGUCAAUUUCUUGUGGGCAAUCUUUCAGUGGUUUUUCACUGGAAAAGGAGAAUGUGGAUUUGCUCAAUUCCCUACUUUCGGAUUGGAAGCUUAUAUGAACACGUAAGGGUUCUUUCUCUAUUUCUAUUUCUCAAUUCCCAUGAGAAGGCUUUAAGCAUUAGUGGUUCAAA
RNA transcript from Cynara cardunculus var. scolymus (artichoke), 1785 nucleotides. It is a transcript of the gene named chaperone protein dnaJ 6-like, with no coding region annotated. The record is from RefSeq and is a predicted model, not a curated record. The transcript is spliced from 12 exons. Lineage: Eukaryota; Viridiplantae; Streptophyta; Magnoliopsida; Asterales; Asteraceae.